This 407-nucleotide ribosomal RNA is filed under the name uncultured Cellulosimicrobium sp. RNAcentral describes it as "bacterial SSU rRNA". It matches the Rfam family "Bacterial small subunit ribosomal RNA", at positions 355 to 774 of the family's 1533-position model. The record is from RNAcentral. Lineage: Bacteria; Bacillati; Actinomycetota; Actinomycetes; Micrococcales; Promicromonosporaceae.
UGGGGAAUAUUGCACAAUGGGCGAAAGCCUGAUGCAGCGACGCCGCGUGAGGGAUGAAGGCCUUCGGGUUGUAAACCUCUUUCAGCAGGGAAGAAGCGCAAGUGACGGUACCUGCAGAAGAAGCGCCGGCUAACUACGUGCCAGCAGCCGCGGUAAUACGUAGGGGGCAAGCGUUGUCAGGAAUGAUUGGGCGUAAAGAGCUCGUAGGCGGUUUGUCGCGUCUGGUGUGAAGACUCGAGGCUCAACCUCGAGCUUGCAUCGGGUACGGGCAGACUAGAGUGCGGUAGGGGAGACUGGAAUUCCUGGUGUAGCGGUGGAAUGCGCAGAUAUCAGGAGGAACACCGAUGGCGAAGGCAGGUCUCUGGGCCGCAACUGACGCUGAGGAGCGAAAGCAUGGGGAGCGAACA